ACUACCAUGCAGUCGAGCGGAGAAGGGAGCUUGCUCCCGGAUUUAGCGGCGGACGGGUGAGUAACACCUGGGAAUCUGCCUGAUAGUGGGGGAUAACGUCCGGAAACGGGCGCUAAUACCGCGUACGUCCUACGGGAGAAAGCAGGGGAUCUUCGGACCUUGCGCUAUCAGAUGAGCCCAGGUCGGAUUACCUUGUUGGUGAGGUAAUGGCUCACCAAGGCGACGAUCCGUAACUGGUCUGAGAGGAUGAUCAGUCACACUGGAACUGAGACACGGUCCAGACUCCUACGGGAGGCAGCAGUGGGGAAUAUUGGACAAUGGGGGCAACCCUGAUCCAGCCAUGCCGCGUGUGUGAAGAAGGUCUUCGGAUUGUAAAGCACUUUAAGUUGGGAGGAAGGGCUUUAGGCUAAUACCCUGAAGUUUUGACGUUACCGACAGAAUAAGCACCGGCUAACUCUGUGCCAGCAGCCGCGGUAAUACAGAGGGUGCAAGCGUUAAUCGGAAUUACUGGGCGUAAAGCGCGCGUAGGUGGUUCAGUAAGAUGGGUGUGAAAUCCCCGGGCUCAACCUGGGAACUGCAUCCAUAACUGCUGGGCUAGAGUACGGUAGAGGGUAGUGGAAUUUCCUGUGUAGCGGUGAAAUGCGUAGAUAUAGGAAGGAACACCAGUGGCGAAGCGACUACCUGGACUGAUACUGACACUGAGGUGCGAAAGCGUGGGGGAGCAAACAGGAUUAGAUACCCUGGUAGUCCACGCCGUAAACGAUGUCCACUAGCCGUUGGGAACCUUGAGUUCUUAGUGGCGCAGCUAACGCACUAAGUUGACCGCCUGGGGAGUACGGUCGCAAGAUUAAAACUCAAUGAAUUGACUGGGGCCCGCACAAGCGGUCGAGCAUGUGGUUUAAUUCGAAGCACGCGUAGAACCUUACCUGGCUUGACAUGCAGAGACUUC
RNAcentral lists this ribosomal RNA (949 nucleotides) under Pseudomonas sp. BBT76. RNAcentral's name for it is "bacterial SSU rRNA". It matches the Rfam family "Bacterial small subunit ribosomal RNA", at positions 50 to 998 of the family's 1533-position model. The record is from RNAcentral. Lineage: Bacteria; Pseudomonadati; Pseudomonadota; Gammaproteobacteria; Pseudomonadales; Pseudomonadaceae.